AGGUGGAAAGACAGCAGCAGAGAAUACGAAAUCUUAUUGAAGAUCAGGUUUUAAAGGUAGAGCAGGAGAGAGGAUUGAUAGAAACAAGAUGGAAGACGGAAGUGGAACAGCUGAGGCAACAAAUCACACAGCAGUGUGGAGAGGUUGGUAGUCUAACUGCUCUAUCAGAGAGGUUAAAGAGGUCAGAGGC
Long non-coding RNA from Eurytemora carolleeae, 190 nucleotides. RefSeq lists it as uncharacterized. The transcript is spliced from 3 exons. NCBI's taxonomy places the organism in Eukaryota, Metazoa, Arthropoda, Copepoda, Calanoida, Temoridae. The record is from RefSeq and is a predicted model, not a curated record.